AUUGAACGCUGGCGGCAGGCUUAACACAUGCAAGUCGAGCGGUAGCACAAGAGAGCUUGCUCUCUGGGUGACGAGCGGCGGACGGGUGAGUAAUGUCUGGGAAACUGCCUGAUGGAGGGGGAUAACUACUGGAAACGGUAGCUAAUACCGCAUAACGUCGCAAGACCAAAGAGGGGGACCUUCGGGCCUCUUGCCAUCAGAUGUGCCCAGAUGGGAUUAGCUAGUAGGUGGGGUAAUGGCUCACCUAGGCGACGAUCCCUAGCUGGUCUGAGAGGAUGACCAGCCACACUGGAACUGAGACACGGUCCAGACUCCUACGGGAGGCAGCAGUGGGGAAUAUUGCACAAUGGGCGCAAGCCUGAUGCAGCCAUGCCGCGUGUGCGAAGAAGGCCUUCGGGUUGUAAAGCACUUUCAGCGAGGAGGAAGGUGGUGAACUUAAUACGUUCAUCAAUUGACGUUACUCGCAGAAGAAGCACCGGCUAACUCCGUG
Molecule: ribosomal RNA, 490 nt
Filed under: uncultured bacterium
Lineage: Bacteria
Description: partial 16S ribosomal RNA
Rfam family: Bacterial small subunit ribosomal RNA
Source: RNAcentral